Molecule: ribosomal RNA, 207 nt
Filed under: uncultured bacterium
Lineage: Bacteria
Description: partial 16S ribosomal RNA
Rfam family: Bacterial small subunit ribosomal RNA
Source: RNAcentral
CGCGCAGGCGGGUUUGUCAGUCAGGGGUGAAAUCCUACAGCUUAACUGUAGAACUGCCUUUGAUACUGCAAGCCUUGAGUUCGGAAGAGAGAGGCGGAAUUCCAGGUGUAGUGGUGAAAUACGUAGAUAUCUGGAAGAACACCAGAGGCGAAGGCGGUCUCUUGGUCCGUAACUGACGCUGAGGCGCGAAAGCGUGGGGAGCAAACA